CCUGCUCUCUGUUUUUAAUAAAUAGCCGCUUUUACAGUGCUAAGGUAGCAUAAUCAUUAGUCUUUCAAUUGAAGAAUAGAAUGAAUGGGGAAACGAGUAUAAAAUUAUGUUGGAAUUUUAUUAUAAAAUUUAUAUAAAAGUAAAAAAGCUUUUAAUAAAAUAAAAGACGACAAGACCCUUUAGAACUUAACUAAAAGUUUAACUGGGGUGGUAGCCUAAAAAACCUAGAUCAUGAAAAGCAUUCAUCCUAAUAUGAUAAAAAGUUACCUAAGGGAUAACAGCAUAAUUUAGUUAAAAAGCUCUUAUUUAAAACUAAGAUUAUGACCUCGAUGUUGAAUUAUAAUACCUCUUAAUAGAAAAUUAUUAAUUAAGUAAGUCUGUUCGACUUUUAAAAAUAUACAU
This 402-nucleotide ribosomal RNA is filed under the name Althepus sp. 25 FL-2018. RNAcentral's name for it is "partial 16S ribosomal RNA". It matches the Rfam family "Bacterial large subunit ribosomal RNA", at positions 1858 to 2601 of the family's 2925-position model. Lineage: Eukaryota; Metazoa; Arthropoda; Arachnida; Araneae; Ochyroceratidae. The record is from RNAcentral.